GGCCCAGAUAUUAGUAUUUAAUUCUAAUAAUCAUAGUUUACUUCAAAGGAAUCUUAAAGACAAAGAGGUCAUAACAACCGUCAUACUAGUUUCCUCUUAAUUUAUACGUAGUAGUAUAGUAUUCCGGAGUGGCUUGUGGGAUUAGCGGCCGAAGAUUGUACCCUGUCAUGGAUUAAUGAAAGCUUUGAAUUGCUCAAAAAAAACAGAGAGUGCUUACUGUUGCACUUAUAUGUCAUAGUGCUUUAGUUAAAACAUAUAAAUUAUAAAGUGAAAGUUUACAUAAUUUAUAAUUUCAAAUAGUUUUAACACAUUAGUAUAUGAGUCGUUGCAGGAAUUUUGCACUAAAACAUAAAUGUAGAUAAUUCUCAUUCUCCAUGUAUAUAUAC
RNAcentral lists this long non-coding RNA (386 nucleotides) under Sorghum bicolor (sorghum). Its description in RNAcentral is "long non-coding RNA (SBIC_LNC007194)". Lineage: Eukaryota; Viridiplantae; Streptophyta; Magnoliopsida; Poales; Poaceae. The record is from RNAcentral.